This 447-nucleotide ribosomal RNA is filed under the name Mactra quadrangularis. Its description in RNAcentral is "partial 16S ribosomal RNA". It matches the Rfam family "Bacterial large subunit ribosomal RNA", at positions 1852 to 2597 of the family's 2925-position model. The record is from RNAcentral. Lineage: Eukaryota; Metazoa; Mollusca; Bivalvia; Venerida; Mactridae.
GUCGGCCCUGCCCGGUGGGUAAGUAUACCUAAACGGUCGCAAUGAAGAGUUGUGCUAAGGUAGCGCAAUAAAUUGUCCUUUAAUUGGGGAAAUGAAUGAAGGGGUUGACGAGGGGGAAGCUGUCUUUUUAAUAUAGUUCGAAGUUUUCUUUUAUGUGAAAAGACUUAGAUUUUAGAAUAAGAAGAGAAGACCCCGGCGAGCUUGUUAAGGUUUAAUAACGUUUAUUAAUUAUUGAUUUUUGUUGGGGCAACGCAAAGGGAAAAAAACUCCUUUGUAUUAAAUAAGGAUCCACUCAGAGUGAAUCAAGCAAAAGCUACCGUGGGGAUAACAGCGCAAUUUUUUCAGAGAGUUCAUAUCGAAGAGAAAGCUUGCGACCUCGAUGUUGGAUUAAGAUUUCCUUUUGGUGCAGGAGUUAAAAAGGUAGGACUGUUCGUCCUUUAAAAUCUU